This 549-nucleotide ribosomal RNA is filed under the name uncultured Glomeromycotina. Its description in RNAcentral is "SSU rRNA". It matches the Rfam family "Eukaryotic small subunit ribosomal RNA", at positions 548 to 1098 of the family's 1831-position model. The record is from RNAcentral. Lineage: Eukaryota; Fungi; Glomeromycota.
UUGGAGGGCAAGUCUGGUGCCAGCAGCCGCGGUAAUUCCAGCUCCAAUAGCGUAUAUUAAAGUUGUUGCAGUUAAAAAGCUCGUAGUUGAAUUUCGGGAUCAAUACGUCGGUCGUGCCUCUGGUAUGAACUGGUGUUAUUGAUUCCUCCUUUCUGAUAAACCAUGAUGUCAUUAAUUUGGUGUUGUGGGGAGUCAGGACUGUUACUUUGAAAAAAUUAGAGUGUUUAAAGCAGGCCUACGCUUGAAUACAUUAGCAUGGAAUAAUGAAAUAGGACGUUCGAACCUAUUUUGUUGGUUUCUAGGAUCAACGUAAUGAUUAAUAGGGAUAGUUGGGGGCAUUAGUAUUCAAUUGUCAGAGGUGAAAUUCUUGGAUUUAUUGAAGACUAACUACUGCGAAAGCAUUUGCCAAGGAUGUUUUCAUUAAUCAAGAACGAAAGUUAGGGGAUCGAAGACGAUCAGAUACCGUCGUAGUCUUAACCAUAAGCUAUGCCGACUAGGGAUCGGAUGAUGUUAAUUUUUUAAUGACUCAUUCGGCGCCUUACGGGAAAC